Molecule: ribosomal RNA, 277 nt
Filed under: uncultured bacterium
Lineage: Bacteria
Description: partial 16S ribosomal RNA
Rfam family: Bacterial small subunit ribosomal RNA
Source: RNAcentral
GUGAAUCCCUUGGCUUAACCAAGGAAGGGCAUUUGAAACUGCCUGGCUUGAGUACGGGAGGGGGAAGCGGAAUUCCCGGUGUAGAGGUGAAAUUCGUAGAUAUCGGGAGGAACACCGGUGGCGAAGGCGGCUUUCUGGACCGAUACUGACGCUGAGACGCGAAAGCGUGGGUAGCAAACAGGAUUAGAUACCCUGGUAGUCCACGCCGUAAACGAUGAGUACUAGGUGUUGCGGGUAUUGACCCCUGCAGUGCCAAGGGCGAAUUCCACAGUGGAUA